RNAcentral lists this ribosomal RNA (482 nucleotides) under uncultured bacterium. RNAcentral's name for it is "partial 16S ribosomal RNA". It matches the Rfam family "Bacterial small subunit ribosomal RNA", at positions 30 to 507 of the family's 1533-position model. The record is from RNAcentral.
AUUGAGCGCUGGCGGCAUGCUUUACACAUGCAAGUCGAACGGUAACAGGCCGCAAGGUGCUGACGAGUGGCGAACGGGUGCGUAAUGCAUCGGAACGUGCCCAGUCGUGGGGGAUAACUACUCGAAAGAGUAGCUAAUACCGCAUACGAUCUAUGGAUGAAAGCGGGGGACCGUAAGGCCUCGCGCGAUUGGAGCGGCCGAUGUCAGAUUAGGUAGUUGGUGGGGUAAAGGCUCACCAAGCCAACGAUCUGUAGCUGGUCUGAGAGGACGACCAGCCACACUGGGACUGAGACACGGCCCAGACUCCUACGGGAGGCAGCAGUGGGGAAUUUUGGACAAUGGGCGCAAGCCUGAUCCAGCAAUGCCGCGUGCAGGAAGAAGGCCUUCGGGUUGUAAACUGCUUUUGUACGGAACGAAACGGCUCUGGUUAAUACCCGGGGCUAAUGACGGUACCGUAAGAAUAAGCACCGGCUAACUACGUG